Non-coding RNA from Candidatus Staskawiczbacteria bacterium, 72 nucleotides. The record is from Rfam. NCBI's taxonomy places the organism in Bacteria, Candidatus Staskawicziibacteriota.
GCCUCCGUAGCUUAAUGGAUAAAGUUCUGGUCUUCGGAACCAGCGAUGAGGGUUCGAGUCCUUCCGGGGGCA